UGGGGAAUAUUGGACAAUGGGCGAAAGCCUGAUCCAGCCAUGCCGCGUGUGUGAAGAAGGCCUUUUGGUUGUAAAGCACUUUAAGCGAGGAGGAGGCUACUUAGAUUAAUACUCUAGGAUAGUGGACGUUACUCGCAGAAUAAGCACCGGCUAACUCUGUGCCAGCAGCCGCGGUAAUACAGAGGGUGCGAGCGUUAAUCGGAUUUACUGGGCGUAAAGCGUGCGUAGGCGGCUUCUUAAGUCGGAUGUGAAAUCCCUGAGCUUAACUUAGGAAUUGCAUUCGAUACUGGGAAGCUAGAGUAUGGGAGAGGAUGGUAGAAUUCCAGGUGUAGUGGUGAAAUGCGUAGAGAUCUGGAGGAAUACCGAUGGCGAAGGCAGCCAUCUGGCCUAAUACUGACGCUGAGGUACGAAAGCAUGGGGAGCAAACAGG
Molecule: ribosomal RNA, 430 nt
Filed under: Actinomycetes bacterium
Lineage: Bacteria; Bacillati; Actinomycetota; Actinomycetes
Description: Actinobacteria bacterium partial 16S ribosomal RNA
Rfam family: Bacterial small subunit ribosomal RNA
Source: RNAcentral